This 1459-nucleotide unclassified non-coding RNA is filed under the name Hevea brasiliensis (rubber tree). Lineage: Eukaryota; Viridiplantae; Streptophyta; Magnoliopsida; Malpighiales; Euphorbiaceae. The record is from RNAcentral.
UAUCAUUCGACUCUCUCCCCUCUCACUUUCUCCGCACCUUCCUCUCAUCACCCAAGUCUUCAGCGGGCAUUUCCUCGGCCGUAUCAACACCGAAACCUUAUGGCUGAAAGCCCGUCUCAGUCCCCGACACCCGCCUCUGUAUCGGAAACCGAUACGUCUCACUAUUGGUGCUACAACUGCAACAAACGUGUCUCCAUCGAAACCCUAGCCAAUCGACCAGAUGUUAUCUGCCUUGAGUGCAAGAAUGGUUUCGUUGAAUCAAUUCCCGCCCCGUCAACUUCGCCCUCCGCCACGCCUUCCUUAAUCUCAGACCAGGCCGAUGAUUCGACUUUCGGAUCCCAGUUCCUUCAAAUGCUUCGCAUAAUUGCGCAGGCGGCGCGUGAUGAGGACGCGCCUCCUCCUCUCCCGCAGGACCACCAAUCCGAGGACGAUUUUCUCAGGAUCGAGCUUAAUGAAUGGGACAAUGACGAAGAUGAAGACGAGGAUGACGAUGAUGCGAACGAGAACGAGAACGAGAACGAGAACGAAAACGAAAACGAAAACGAAAACGAAGGGAACAGAGAUGAAGGAGAGCAUGACGAUGAAGAAGGGGAGGAUCGAUCUGAUAACGAGAAUGAAGAGAACAGAGAGGAAGAUUUUGAAGAUCUGAGGUCAAGGCAGCGCGAUAUUCUCCGUCUCCGGAUCCGGGACUUUGCCACCCGAGCGAGGAGUGGGCGUAACCGGAUCCUUGACUGGGCUGAGAUUCUGAUGGGACUGGAAGACAACUCGAUUGAAUUUCGCCUUGAAGUCCCGGAAACCGAUAGAUACAUAGGCAAUCCGGAGGAUUACGUGGAUGCCGCUGGAUACGAGGCGCUGCUGCAGAACUUGGCUGAGAGUGAUGGUGGAAGGAGAGGGGCUCCACCUGCGGCAAAAUCUGCAGUGUCAGCGUUGCCAACGAUUGAGAUCACGUCAGAGGCGGAGACUCUGGUAUGUGCCAUAUGCAAGGAUAUGGUUAAUGUUGGUGAAACGGAGACGAAAUUGCCUUGUGGACAUGGGUACCAUAGGGACUGCAUUGUGCCGUGGUUGGGUUCUAGGAAUUCUUGUCCUGUUUGUAGGUUUGAGUUGCCAACGGAUGAUUCAGAGUAUGAGGAGGACAGAAAGAAGGAAGCGGCAGGCACUGCAGGCGGAGCUUCAAGUUCUGGCGAUGGUAGUUUGGGUUCCACUUGAUUGGAACUGGUAUGCAAGUCAAUUUAAAAGUUUUACUCUCGUGUAGUUUAAAUGUUUCAUGAACCUUUGGUUGUUUAUUUACUUUUGUGGAGUAGAUAAAGCUGGAUUUGCUUUCAUUUGCAUCUGAAUGUAAAUAAUAUUUACUCAGUUUGGUUUUCUUUUCUGUCAUGUAUAAUCCAAUCUUUUUCAGUUGAAACAGGCACUUGAGCUGAAAGCGUUUACAUUUUAGUGAAUAGAUAGGUGAGGUUUGUAG